This 722-nucleotide ribosomal RNA is filed under the name Paracorniculantispora psalliotae. RNAcentral describes it as "LSU rRNA". It matches the Rfam family "Eukaryotic large subunit ribosomal RNA", at positions 123 to 879 of the family's 3401-position model. The record is from RNAcentral. Lineage: Eukaryota; Fungi; Ascomycota; Sordariomycetes; Hypocreales; Cordycipitaceae.
GGCCUUCGGGCCGAGUUGUAAUUUGUAGAGGAUACUUUUGGCGAGGUGCCUUCCGAGUUCCCUGGAACGGGACGCCAUAGAGGGUGAGAGCCCCGUCUGGUCGGAUACCAAGCCUCUGUAAAGUUCCUUCGACGAGUCGAGUAGUUUGGGAAUGCUGCUCAAAAUGGGAGGUAUAUGUCUUCUAAAGCUAAAUAUUGGCCAGAGACCGAUAGCGCACAAGUAGAGUGAUCGAAAGAUGAAAAGCACUUUGAAAAGAGGGUUAAAAAGUACGUGAAAUUGUUGAAAGGGAAGCGCCUAUGACCAGACUUGGGCCCGGUGAAUCAUCCAGCGUUCUCGCUGGUGCACUUUGCCGGGCACAGGCCAGCAUCAGUUUGGCGCGGGGGAUAAAGGCUUUGGGAAUGUGGCUCCCUCGGGAGUGUUAUAGCCCAUUGUGUAAUACCCUGCGCCGGACUGAGGUACGCGCAUUGCAAGGAUGCUGGCGUAAUGGUCAUCAGCGACCCGUCUUGAAACACGGACCAAGGAGUCGUCUUCGUAUGCGAGUGUUCGGGUGUCAAACCCCUACGCGUAAUGAAAGUGAACGCAGGUGAGAGCUUCGGCGCAUCAUCGACCGAUCCUGAUGUUCUCGGAUGGAUUUGAGUAAGAGCAUACGGGGCCGGACCCGAAAGAAGGUGAACUAUGCCUGUAUAGGGUGAAGCCAGAGGAAACUCUGGUGGAGGCUCGCA